GUACUAUUGCGGCCGCCCUCUGCUGUGCCUGAAGACGGAAGCGACUCUACACGCCUCACAGUAUGCACUGUCACUAAAAAGACGAUGCGUCCUCCUGGAGCUGAGAUCUUUGUGAUCGUGGGACAGCGACGAAAAACGAACAAAAGAACAGUAAAUGGAAUAACUUGGCUAGAAUAUGGCAGUAACUACAAGGCAUGUUCUGCUCUGGCACGAAGACAACCAACCUGAGGCACCAGACACAUGAGUGAAGCCAUCUUGCACUUCCCAGUCACAGCCAAACUCACUCCUGAGUGCAUCUGCAUGAUGAACCCAGAAAUCCCCACCACGGAGCAAAGGAUCCAUCCAGUCAACCCAAAGAAUCAUGAAAAAUAAUAAAUUGUUGUUUUAAAGUUCUUCAGUUUUGGAAUAGCUUGUUAUGCAACAAUACAUAAUUAAUACACCGGUCUCCCACUUUCAAGUUUGAUU
Molecule: non-coding RNA, 465 nt
Filed under: Pongo abelii (Sumatran orangutan)
Lineage: Eukaryota; Metazoa; Chordata; Mammalia; Primates; Hominidae
Source: RNAcentral